Molecule: ribosomal RNA, 599 nt
Filed under: Neptunomonas phycophila
Lineage: Bacteria; Pseudomonadati; Pseudomonadota; Gammaproteobacteria; Oceanospirillales; Oceanospirillaceae
Description: bacterial SSU rRNA
Rfam family: Bacterial small subunit ribosomal RNA
Source: RNAcentral
UAGAUGCUGACGAGCGGCGGACGGGUGAGUAACGCGUAGGAAUCUACCGAGUAGUGGGGGAUAGCCCAGAGAAAUUUGGAUUAAUACCGCAUACGCCCUACGGGGGAAAGGAGGGGAUCUUCGGACCUUUCGCUAUUUGAUGAGCCUGCGUAAGAUUAGCUAGUUGGUAGGGUAAAGGCCUACCAAGGCGACGAUCUUUAGCUGUUCUGAGAGGAUGAUCAGCCACACUGGGACUGAGACACGGCCCAGACUCCUACGGGAGGCAGCAGUGGGGAAUAUUGGACAAUGGGGGCAACCCUGAUCCAGCCAUGCCGCGUGUGUGAAGAAGGCCUUCGGGUUGUAAAGCACUUUCAGAUGUGAGGAAAGGAUAGUAGCUAAUAACUGCUAUCUGUGACGUUAACAUCAGAAGAAGGACCGGCUAACUCCGUGCCAGCAGCCGCGGUAAUACGGAGGGUCCGAGCGUUAAUCGGAAUUACUGGGCGUAAAGCGCGCGUAGGCGGCUAAGUCAGUCAGAUGUGAAAGCCCCGGGCUCAACCUGGGAAUUGCACCUGAUACUGCUUGGCUAGAGUACAGAAGAGGGUGGUGGAAUUUCCUGUGUA